CUCCCGGUGUAGUGUCCUCUCUCCCCGUGUAGUGUCCUCUCUCCCGGUGUAGUGUGUCUUUCCGAACGGACGAGGCGCUGUUAAACACACACUCGAUACUUAGCGCACACCGACCGUCAUUCUCUCUCUCUGCUUGGAGUGUAUUUGGAGACCUCCAUGGCCACGGGGAGUUGAGAGGGCAAGACGGAAAGGCUUGUUGUCUUUCACGUUUUAAUACUACCCAAGUUGUCCUUAUGCCGCGUUUCACACACUACUGUUCUCGCCACUAUCCCCGAUGCGGUGGAAAACGGGGUGCGGGCUUUCAGAUACGGAAGAACCUCUCAUCUCCAGCUGUUCUAGAGGUGUGGGUGUGACCGGUGCCCGACCCAGUGGUCCCCGACCAGAGACAUGAGUGUGGUCCGAGACCCACAGGGGCGUACAGGGGGUGGUAGGGGGCGACCAUCUGGGGGUCUAGGGGUGGGGAUGGGGGUGGACCCCCACAGCCACUUCACAGAGCACGCCCCUCGACCCCCUGUCCCUGGAGAAGAGGGGGACAACCGUGACCCCCACCACCUCCCCUCCAGCCAUGGAGGCCGCCCCCACCCAGUCCACCUGCUACCCCCCCUCCAAAACAGACCCCUCCUUCCGUAGUAGCGAGUCCCCAUCCUCGGCCACCCCCACCCCCAGGCGGCCGGACCUGGACCUAGGGUACGAGCCUGAGGGCAGCGCCUCCCCCACGCCUCCCUACCUGAAGUGGGCGGAGUCGCUCCACUCUCUCCUGGAUGACCAAGAGGGCAUCCAGCUGUUCAGGGGCUUCCUGAGACAGGAGGGCUGUGGGGACCAGCUGGACUUCUGGUUCGCCUGCUCUGGAUUCAGGAAGAGCAGCCAGGAGAAGAGGCCCAAGCUGGCCAAGGCCAUUUACAGGAAGUAUAUCCAGGAUAGUAACGGCAUCGUGUCGAGGCAGAUUAAACCAGCUACUAAGAGCUUCAUCAGAGACUGUGUGGUUCGACUGCAUCUGGACCCUGCCAUGUUCCAACAGGCCCAGACGGAGAUCCAGAGCACUAUGGAGGAGAACACCUACCCUCUGUUCCUGAAGUCAGACAGCUACCUGGAGUACACCCAGACAGGGGAGGAGAGCCCCAAACCACCCAGCGACCACAGCUCCUCAUCGGGUCCUGGGCAGCCUGGCUACCUGCCCACCCUCACAGAGGACGUAGAGUGGAGGUGCCGGGAGGAGGAAGAUGAGGAGGAGGUGGAGGAAGAGGAGAGCGGGGAUACGCAGGCCAGCAGGCUGACCCAGAGGUUGCUAAUGGAGACGGCUCCUCACAGAGUGUCGACCAAUCGGAGAGCAGGGGAAAGCCGAGAGUACAGACCAUGCAGAGAGCCGGUGGUUAACCCCUACUACGUGAACAUGGGUUCUGCUCGCGCCCCGGCAACCAGCGCUAACGACAGUGAACAGCAGAGCUUGUCCAGCGUCUCCGACGGCGACACACUGUCACUGACCGACAGCAGUGUGGACGGUGUUCCACCCUACCGGUAUCGUAAACAGCAUCGUAGAGAGAUGCAUGAAAGUGCCAAAGCCAACGGACGUGUGCCCCUACCUCACAUACCUCGUACGUACCGUGUACCAAAGGAUGUCCACGUUGAGCCGGAGAGGUUUGCUGUUGACCUCAUCAGUCGACUGGAGGCAGUUCUGAGAGAGAGAGAAGCACAGGAGAGACUGGAGGAGAGACUGAAGAGGGUCAGACUGGAGGAGGAGGGUGACGAUGCCGACGUCUCCAUGGUAAACUCCCUCCCCCCCUACGGCAACAAGCCCCUCCCCCCCUCCACCUCGUCCCUCUACCCCCACUACGGGUCCCGUUAUUCAGAGACCUCGUACAACGGUGUUCUGGCGCUACAGGACGCGCACGAGGAGAACCCGGAGGCCAUCUUGGACGAACACGUGCAGAGAGUGAUGGAGACGCCGGGGUGUCAGUCACCAGGCACCGGGAGACACUCGCCCAAGUCCCGCUCCCCUGACGGAGGGGUGUACCCUCCACCUCACUCUGGGAGAACCCAGUGGCCUCUAGGGGUGAAAGGUCACAAGCCAGGAGCCAAGGGAGGGGAUCCAACGGGGAUGGGAGCAGGUGUGUACCACCACAAGCAUGGCUACCACUACCCCCCAGGGGGCACCAAGCCCAAAGAGCCCCAGAUGGAUGAGGUGGUGCUGGGUGGAGGGGGAGGGGGAGGAGGCUCCAGGACCCAGGGGAGUGGCCUGUGGAACGGGGAGGCCCACCACUACUCUACCGGGAAGGGACGCAACUACGCAGAUGGGGCUGGGACCCUGGACGCAAUGGGCUAUAGUAGUAAGGGCAGCACCCUAUCGAAGCGUGGCUCUAAGAAGGGGGUGGAGCCGACAGGUAAAGGUGAUGAGGGGCGUGUCCAGGAGGCCCAGGUACCGCUGGAGGACCUGGAGAGAAACCACAAGAUACUGCAGUGGAUGAUGGAGGGGGAGGCACUACGACACAAAAAGAACACACACGGGAGUACCACAGGCUCCAGGAAGACCCAGGGGAGUGUGGAGCCGUUGAGACCCAGCUCUGUGGAGCGUCCUGGGGCAGUGCACCCCUGGGUGAGCGCCCAGUUGCGGAACAACGUGCAGCCCUCUCACCCUUUCAUCCAGGACCCCACCAUGCCCCCCAAUCCCGCACCCAACCCCCUCACUCAGCUAGAGGAGGCCCGGAGGAGACUGGAGGAGGAGAGGAGGAGAACCGCCCUGCUGCAGGCUAAACAGAGACAGAAGUCCCUAAGCAGUAAGAAGCAGGGGUCACAGUGUGAGAACGUAACUGUGGCGUACUACUUCUGUGGCGAGCCAAUCCCCUACCGCACCACGGCCAAAGGUCGCGUGGUGACCCUGGGACAGUUCAAGGAGCUACUCACCAAGAAGGGCUUCUACAGGUUCUACUUUAAGAAGGUGAGUGAUGAGUUUGACUGUGGCGUGGUGUUUGAAGAAGUCAAAGAGGACGACGCCGUCCUGCCCAUCUACGAGGAGAAGAUCAUCGGUAAGGUAGAGAAGGUGGACUAAAACAGGAAAUGGAGCCGGGAGGAAGUAGGAGGUGGAAGAAGAACAAUGACGCAGAGAAAAGACUGAACCGAAUCGGAUUAAGAGGAGGUGGAGAGAGUGCUUUUGGAAGAGGAGGAGCGGG
RNA transcript from Oncorhynchus tshawytscha (Chinook salmon), 3164 nucleotides. It is a transcript of the gene named axin-1-like, with no coding region annotated. The record is from RefSeq and is a predicted model, not a curated record. NCBI's taxonomy places the organism in Eukaryota, Metazoa, Chordata, Actinopteri, Salmoniformes, Salmonidae. The transcript is spliced from 15 exons.